GUUGGGUUUUUGAUUCUGGAUACCGUUACGUUAUCUCAGACACACGGAUUUCUUCUGAGAAGUACGUGGUUGAUUGCUUGAAGUAGCUGGCUCAACGCACCGGGCGAGUUGACCUAUCACAUUCGUGUGUAUGACAUGCAGUAUCGUUACUUCUCCAAAAGCAACAGGAAAACGUAUUGUGGCC
Molecule: long non-coding RNA, 184 nt
Organism: Sardina pilchardus (European sardine)
Lineage: Eukaryota; Metazoa; Chordata; Actinopteri; Clupeiformes; Clupeidae
Exons: 3
Source: RefSeq, a predicted model, not a curated record